AGUAAACUGUGCUGCGAUGCUAGCCUUUCAGUCACUACCAGAGGUCCCAGCAGCAAAAACAAAAAUUGUGGAUGAUACAUUUUAACCUUCUAGAAACUCAGCUAACUCCUUUAGUUUUCAAGAAAUAAUGAAGAAAACAUCAAUAUAUCACCUACCAUCAUUUCAUUACUUGAUGGAUUCAGAAGCUCAAGAAGACACCAGAGAAGCCUAUGAUGACAAGCAGGUGGUCACAGAGAUCAUGGCAAGAUGUUUUAUUCCAACUCUGAUAACAACUACUUCCUGGGAAAGUUUUCAUUUUAUUGGUCAUGAGAUUCGAAUUACUGAGGCCAUGGAUUGUUAUGGUGCUGUUGUUUGGCCAUCGGUAUAAUUUCAUACAGAAUUUGUUACAUUCCAAUUAUUUUUCCAGCCGGUUUUAUUCAUUAUUAUGUUCUAUUUGGAAGAAGAAAACAGGUUCCAUAUUCCUUCUUUGUGACCUCAAAUAGUACUAUGUUUUAGAAAUCAUGUGACUAGGAAAUUAUUUCUCCCAAUUAAUUCUGUAAUUCUAUUUCUUUUCUUUUCUUUUUUUUUGAGACAGAGUCUUGCUCUGUCACCCGGGCUGGAGUGCUGUGGCUUGAUCUCAGCUCACUGCAACCUCUGCCUCCUGGGUUUAAAUGAUUCCCCUGCUGCAGCCUCCUGAGUAGCUGGGACUACAGGCAUGCAACACCACACCAAGCUAAUUUUUGUAAUUUUGGUGGGAAUGGGGUUUCAACCACGUUGGCCAGGCUGGUUUUGAACUCCUUGCCUCAAGUAAUCCAUCCACCUCCACCUCCCAAGGUGCUGGGAUUACAGGCAUAAGCUACCACGCUGGGCCUCAAUUAAUUCUAUUUCUGACUUUAUUGAAAUUUGUAGGAUUAAUACAGGGUGUUGUUUACUUCUUCAGUUUUUAAAAUAAGAGUUUAGAGCAGUAAACAUUUUUAUUUCCCCUUUUAUCAGCUCCAUUUGAGUUAAACAAUUACAUUGAAAUCUAUAUGAGUCUCACAUGUAGAAUGUCCUCAAAGACCCUCAAUCCUUUACCAACUGUCCCAUGAAGAGUAAUGGACCCACCACCCCACCUGCCCCAAUCCCACACACCACUUGGAAAUGACUAGUAUUAUCAGAAGUUGCUUCCUUUAAAAAUGAUCAAACCUAAGCAAUUGAACUCCACAUUUUUAGUUAUUUCUCUUUUCCUCUCAAUAAUCCCCAAGGAAUUUUUCUAGCAGAAAUGUUGAACCUCUCAGAGGAUGCACUUUUGUUCAUAUUUUUUGGAGUGAUGUACAAGUACACACAUGAGUACUCUCAUGUACUCAUAUGAGCACGCAUACAUAGCAUAACAUUAGCAGCAUAUUUGUCCAAUAAAGUUUAAUUUUACUUUCUGUUAUUACUUGCCAAGCGUCCCUUUUUUUUUUUUUUCUAACUUUCAUAGGCCCUUGUUCUAUGCUAUUUCCUGGAAACAAAUGCAAAGCAGUAUAAUAUGGUUGACAAAAACGUGAUUGAAAUUGGAGCUGGAACAGGGCUAGUCUCCAUUGUGGCAAGUUUACUUGGUGCUCACGUGACGGCCACAGAUUUACCCGAAUUACUUGGAAACCUGCAAUAUAAUAUUUCCCGAAACACCAAAAUGAAAAGCAAGCAUUUGCCUCAGGUUAAAGAACUCUCCUGGGGAGUAGCUUUAGAUACAAACUUCCCCAGGUCUUCUAAUAAUUUUGACUAUAUUUUGGCAGCGGAUGUGGUCUACGCUCAUCCUUUCUUGGAAGAGCUCCUCAUUACCUUUGACCAUCUGUGCAAAGAAACCACCAUCAUCCUGUGGGCCAUGAAAUUCAGGUUGGAGAAGGAAAAUAAAUUUGUAGAUAGAUUUAAGGAGUUGUUUGACCUGGAGGAAAUUUCCAGUUUCCCUAGCCUGAAUAUUAAGUUGUAUAAAGCUGUGAAGAAAAACCGGAGGAGCGUAUGACAUCCUCGAUGAGGAUGUGGAAAUGCUAAGGCAAUUUUUAGCAAAUAAUCACUUUAAAGAAAACCCUGAAUAACUUUAUGUGCCACUGAGUUUCCCAAGGGGAAAUACACACACAGAUGCGCGCGCACACACACACACACACACACACACACACACACACACACACAAAACCCCCUACUACAAGAAUAGAAGAUAGUUUCCCAAAUUUGCCUCACCCCAGGCAGUAAUUUUUCCAGAUACUGCAUGUGAGUCUAGGAUUGGGGUAACUUGUUCCUAGUUUGUCUCUAUCAGCACCCAGGCCCUGGGCCUGCCUUCUACUCAUGCGGUAAUAGAAGCUCUUGGCAAAGUC
RNA transcript from Homo sapiens (human), 2312 nucleotides. It is a transcript of the gene named methyltransferase like 21E, pseudogene, with no coding region annotated. The transcript has 4 exons. Lineage: Eukaryota; Metazoa; Chordata; Mammalia; Primates; Hominidae. The record is from RefSeq and is marked provisional.